AAAAAAAAACAAAAACUAAAAGCUAUCAUGAUGGCCUAUCAUGUGCUAAUUGUCAUUGAUCAAAACCAUGGACUGAACCAAGGAGAACCAGACCGGACAAAUCUAUGGUUCAUCAGCCGCGGUUUAGUUCAAUGAUUGGCAUCCUCGCCGCAUUAGCUAAAUCUGCGGCUUGCCCACAGAGAUUCGUGGAUAUGGAUGGCAGGCUUGAAAGGCACUCCCAGUUAUUGUUGCUUUGGCCACCAACAACCUACUUAAAAAUAGAAGAAAACAAUGAUAAAAAAUCUCCACCACCUCCUAUAAAUACCAAAAACCCGUGAUCAAUCCCUCCAUAGAACCCUCAAAGCCUCAAUCUCUUAGAAAAAACGGGCCUCAAAUCCUAUAUCUGCAAGGAUGAUGUCCAUGGGAGCUAGCUAUGCCCGCCUCCGUGUCCAACAAGAGCACUACAAGGAAAAGCUGAAGAGAAAGGAAGGGGAGGAGGCCAAAGGAGAGAAGAAGGGCUCCAAAGGGAAGAUCCAUCCUAGCGGCCCGGCGACGUCGAGCUCGAACUCUUGAAAGAAGGGAGGAGGAGAAGAAGAAGAAGAAGAAGAAGGAUCUAUGCCUGAUUUACUGUUAGCUAUUUGUAACAUCGAUUUUUUGUUCAGUAACACCUCAUUUUAAAGACUUCGUACUUUUUUUUUUGUUGAUUUCCCAAAUCUCGUUAGAGUGUCCCUUGUAGAUUUUUUUUUUUUCUGGAAUUUCUGUUUUCUGAAAGUGCGGGAAGUUGGGAAAGAAGAAGAGAGCUCCGAGAGGAGCUUUUUUUGAAGCAUUACUUCAAACACUUCGGUGUUGUGUUGCAACAUGACCGGGAGCCUGCAGAGGCUCAAGUACUCUUUCACGCUGAAGGCAGUGAGUGGCGGCGUCUCUCGCCCAAAAAAUUAUAUCCUAUACCACAUCGACCGCAUGGCAGCCCACCAUGCCAACCACAACCAUUCAUUCCUACGUUAUAGCAUAAAUAAAAUCCACAAAAUUAAACAUUAGCGCGGUGUCCAUCACAAUAGUGCAUGUGGUGUAAGAUAUAAUUGGGCCUCUCGCCUGAGAGGCACCACGUUAGAUCAUCAGUAGUGCACCAUACUAAUUCUUUAACAUAUCUGGGAUAGAAUAUAAUUUUAUAAAAAUUAAAUUUUAUCUGAAAGUUUUGCUCUCUCACUCCAUUAGAUUAUUGGCUGCAUAAUUGUGUAAGGGUUAACUUCUAGGUGCCAAAUGAAUCUAAGUUUUCUAUGGGCGCCGACCAUUCAAAACUUGGGCAGGCAAGUUAGGGCACUACCACCAAACAAUUGUUGAACACCAAUUGAACAAGAAACGGGUUUGAUUCUAGUUGGAGUUGAUUCUCAAAAAGUGAGAUAGGUAUAAAAUUAAAAGACAAAAAAUGGUGAAGAUCAACCCACUAUUUAGGUGUAAAAUUUGGAAAAAAAAAGGGCUGUAGGUUGGAAGAAAUUAGGAUGUGAAAUUCUUGUACAGGCAUCUCGCAAUGUUUCCAUUACCUCCCUGAUCUAUUCCUUGUCUAUGAAUCAAUCCCAUAUGGAAGUCUAUGAUUUGCUUCCUUGAUUGGCUAAAUAGUACAUGGGACCUAGGAGGUUAGCACAGAGAGGUAGCAGUACUUGUUCUUCAAUAUCUUGUAACAAGCAACUUAAUAUGGUCCCAUCAAGGUACCAACACAUGCUAGGUGUCAUUUAGAUGAACAUCAUCUCGUUGUUUCUUGUUCCUUUUUACAAGCAACCUGAUUCAAGUAUUGGAUGCCAACUAGGUCCCUAUAACUAACGUGCCUCAACAUCCUAAUGUGAUCUUAUCAAGAUGCUAACUAAUUUGGUUCCUUCUAUUUGGCAUAUCUAGUAUUGUGGAUGCUGUGGGAUAUGCCAUCUAAGAAUUGAACUUAGAAUGGCGAUGUUACCGUUAAGGCCAGUAUAUAUGUUGCUUGUUAACUUUUAAAUUCCUUAGAGAAACUUUUCAUACACAUGAGUUUAGCACGAACUAGGAUUUAAGAUCCCAGAAGUGGUUUGAAGCAUCACCAAGGGUGUACAUGCCAUGAACUAGGAUUUAAAUUUUCUUUGCUCUUCCCCGUUUAGCCUGAUUAUUCUAACUAUGGACCAUGAUUAAGUCCAUGGUUCUUAGUUCAAUUUAAGAAUAACUAUCUAAAUAAUGAUUUAAACGAGCACAAUACUAGAACAACCACCACUUCAAAUGGCUCUCAUAUAAAUUAGAUCACUAUUAAACCUGAUCAACAACAUUUGGAUAAAUAUACAGAUUGGAGUGUUUCAAGUACUGCAUGCUAGUGAUUUGGGUUCAACUUUCUCUAUGUUAAUAGGCAGAUGAAGAUCGACAUUCAGAUUGAAUCAAGCUCAAAGUUCAUAGCUGAAGCUUGUUUUAGGACCACUUUAAUAAACAAUCUAGCAAUUGGAGUCUGACUUGUUUGCAUGCAGCUUAGUUGCUUUAUAGCCUUAAGCCCCGUUUGGCAGAAUUGUUGGCACUAGAGCUUUCAGAAAUAGAACUUUUUGAAGUAAAACUUUUAUAAAAAAGUUAUUUGCUGUUUGGUAACUAUAUUUUUAAAGUGUUGUGAUGUGUUUAGUAAACAAAUUAAGAAAGUACUUUUGGUUUAACCACAGCCAUAGGCCAACCUAUUGGUGUGAUAUAGCCCAUUUAACUUUGAUCCAUUCUUAGAGUGGAGGACCAAGAAACAAGCUUGGCCUUCGUAGAAUGGCGAGCAUCAAAAUCACUUACCAGAUAAUCGCUAGCCUUUGGAACAACCAUCUUAGUGCUAUCCAUUUAUUCUCUGUGAUCUAGCGCACUCCUGUUUUUCCAAAUUUGCCACCACAUCCAUGCAUAAGAGGCGUUUCCCGGCAAUAAACCUGGGUUAAAUGAAGAUAGCCAUUGAUAUAGCUUUCAAAAUAUCAUUCAUCUUGGCAAAUUGAAAUCAAAUUAUCAACACAUUUUUCGUUUAUUAAAACAAAACUGACGUAGAAUCGUGUGAUUUGAAAAGCUUAUUUUUCUCAUGUUAUUUUGGAUGAAUAUAGCCAACCGAGGAAAAGUAAGAAGGGGAAUAAAGGGCAUAUCGUGAGUUGUAGUUUCCAACACGGAUUCAGGGAACCAAGCCACAUUUGUUGAGAUUGAAUACUAUGAUACAAGAUUUGCUUAAUUGCAAUCCCUAGUAUAGGCAAGAGUUUGCAUUAUGUAUCAAUAGAUAUCAUACCAUGCUCCAUAUAUGGAAGGCGAAUGGACGCAUGGAUUGGCUUAUGCAUUUAGCAUCAACAUCCACCGUUACAUUCUUUUACUUCACUUUUACGCCCUCUCUUCUUCUUAAAAGUUCAAAGCAAAGAUUCUUCACUUCAAAGUCUACCUCAGCUCUUGUAACAUCUUGGACUAUAUUCAUUAUUGGAGAACUUUCAUCUCUGAGUUUUCUCAAAGUCAACUUCGAUGGAUGUAUGAUAGAUGGCGGUGGAAGAGGCGAAGUAGGCUCUCUAAUUAGAAGCCUAGACUCUAGACUCGUCGUACGAGUGGAGUUGAGGACUGCCUAGGCCCGCAUUAGCUAUGCUCGAUGUAUCCUAAGAGAUGACACCAUCUUGGUUGGGGGCAACUCUGAUAUGGUAAUUAAUUUGAUCCAAUGACAAGUUAGAAAGAUUGGUACGCACGCUAUGCUUCAAGAUGUGUGGUAUUGGGCGAGAGGAUGCAUCUUUCUUGGGGCCAUCGAUCACCCCAAUGCCUGCUGCAUGACGUGAUUUAGAAGGCUUUGUACGUGGAUGUCACGAGGCAUCUCUGACACCGUCUGGAAUAUCCACGUGCUCCCUCUCUCCCCACUCCCCGCUGUCACAUUGACUCAAAGCAAUCCUUCAACUUAAAAUGCAAGACGUGUCAGCUGCUGACGCACUACACUGACCUCCAUUUUAGCGUGAUUCGUCGCGGUAUCACGGACGAUAAAUCGGCCAUACCGCCCGAUUUUUUCCAAUUAUUGGCGGACUUCCUUUCGGAGAGUCAUUCAUCGAUCUAACGGCCCCGAUCAAACCUGACAACCCACCCACGGCACGCCUUCCAUUUCGGCGUACUUUCCGCCGCUGCUGAUGUAAUCGUACGGUCUGGAUCUACCGAUAAAUGCCACAGAACGACUCGGAGAUCGUACGGUAGAGGAUGUCGAGGGCCGUGGAUCCUCUUCCCACUAGUGCGAUGUCACCCUGGCGUCUGGGCGCAUCACGAGUCUAUGCUCAGUGGGAUCCAGCCCUGCACGUGGAAUGAGUAAUGACGCUUGGAUUAGCAUUAAGAAGUUCUUAGUUUAAAGUUAACUAAUUAGCUAAUAGUAAAGUAUAUUAGAAUGGCAGUAAUGAUAAGAUGGUGGGGUUUGGUCGAGAAGACGUAUCAUUUCACGUUGUCCUCCUCGACAACUUGUUUAAUUAAUUUCUCUGCCUGGAUUAAACAAAGAUAAUAGUGUUAAUUAAGAUAUUAUCGAACGAAAUUUAUGAUAGGUUUGCACAGUUUGCACACUGUGUCCAUUAAGGGCACUGAUAUGCAACAUGUUAAGGAUAACAUUGCUAUGAAAAGGUCAUAGUGUAGCUCCAUAUGUUGCAUUUGUUUGGAUGAAUGCUAGAUAUGUGACAUGACCUGAUCUAAGUUACCGUGGUGUUACUUAAAUUCCUUAUUUUUAUUUCUCAGACCUCCAAAUGCAUGCAAUGCGUCAAUUCUUGCUUGUAAGCUAGUGCAAUUUUUUCCCCCUUCAAUUUCUCAAAUUUUUGUACUGUUGCAUUUAAGUGGAAGGCGAUCAAGAUGCUUCUUGAUUGAGUAUAAGUGAAGCAAGCAAAACUAUUUCACCUAAAACAAGGGGUUACUUUACUCAGCUUGGCAGGGAUCAUGGGUUAGGUGAUUUGUCUAUUAGUCAUCAUGUCUACCAAGGCAAGUUUUCUAUUCAAACAACAAUAAUAAACCUGCAGCCAAUUGGGCUGAGCAUAGACAUAUGUACUUUAACAUAGUUGGCCUCCAAUUGUACCUACAACUAUCACUAAAUUUAAGAUUGAUUAGAAAAUUGUGAAGAAGGAUUUGUACUGGCAAAUUUCAAAAUAAAUGAAAAUCCUUCACCAGUUUUAAAAGACAUCUUUGUACCUAGCUAUGUGUUGUCUAAAAUCAACAAUUUUCAAAAAUAACUAGAAUAGGCAUAAAUAAUACUGUAGCUUUCCUUCUUUUUUUUCUAAAGUGCAAAAGCGUGGCUUUCAAUUUAAAAUAACUAUAACUAGGCAUGAUUUACUCUUCAUUGUCCAAAAAUAGAUACACAUAACAUGAUAUAUAUUCCCUGCAAUUUCUUUCAUGAAAUACUAUAAGCAUGUUCAUACCGGCAAGGAAAAAGGUAUGCAAAACUUGCCAUUUUCUCCAAAACCCAAUAAUCUAAUUUUCUAAUUAAACAUAAACUUCCAACCUAAGGAUAAUCUAAUACUUGUAAACCAAUCUCCAUUUAAAUUUCUAAACUUUUAAAAGAUGCAAGAUAAGACAUGCACCAUAACUUAUAGAAUACCCUAAUGAAAUUUCAUAUCUGGUUGAAACUUCAAGAGCGACUCUUAUUUUCUUAUAUCAUAUACGACACAAAAUUUAAAAGUGAUUUCAAGCAUAAUUUCUUUUUCGUUCUUCUAAUAAAGAAGACUGAUCAAAUGAUUCUAUAUUUUUGUGGUACUUUUUCAUACUUUAUUUACUCAUUACCAUAUUUUCCAAGAGGGUAAAUACUUGUUAGAAACAUGCAAUAGUUGAUUUGAUAUUUUUUUUUAUCAACAUGAUAUCAAUUAUACCUACCAAAUUAAUAUGAAUAACCUAGCAUAUAUUUUUUUUCCACCUAGGCUAUGUUUGGAAGGUGAUUAAAGGGUAGAAAAUAUAUAGUUAUCAAACUAGUCAGCCAAACACGAUUUACAAGUGGCGAAUAAACUUAGCUAGAUUAUUUUUUUAGGAGAGAGUAAAAUGACUUCAACCAUCUAAACCACUCCCCCUCUCUCAUAUUUGCUACUUUUUCACCUUUUCUAUAAUUUUAUCCCAAACAAGGCAUAAGUUAUCAGCUGGAUAGGGGAAAAUAUCAAUAGUUAAAAUAAUUAAAGGGAUGGUUUGUUAUUUGGCAUCCAAAUGCAAUUUUAGGAUCUUCAUAAGUUUGUGCAAUAAAAUGAGCUGGAAAGGCAUUUCCUCAAUUCUACACACUAGCUAUUCAUCCAACAGGACAAGUUUCCUCCUCAAGGGCGUGAUUGCCAACAAAAUGGGGGUGACAAUAAAGCCAUUCAAGUCAUCUCAGCUACAACCUCUCCAGCGGCCUUGCGGGUAAUUGACCCAAAGGUUUGUCCAGUUUAUUUUUUCUACACUAAUAUUAUUUUAUUAGUCGUUUCUAAUCAUCCGAAAAUAGCGGGCUUUGGCGGGAUGUCCUUUUCUUAAACCCUCCUCUCUCUCUCUCCCUCCCCCCCCUCGUGUAUACCUACGCCGUAUAUCCUCCCCUCGUCUCUCUCUUCACUCCUCUCUACCCAAAACCUUCGGUCUCUUGGUCGCCCAUGGCGAGCUCGAUCGAGCCCUAGAGUUCCUUUCGAACCACGCGAGGCCCCAAUGCCCUCGAAUCCCAGGCCCAUUUCACUUUCCAACGGCCUUCGGAUCCUUCUCGAGGACGGCUCCCUCGCCCUCGCUUGAUCUCCAAGCACCAGAUCCGGAAUUAGGUACAAGCGCGGCGAGCUGUCCCUUUCCCCCCUACAUUCCCUCUCCACUCCUAGGGUUUCAGUUCCAGUAUCCUCCUGAAUCUAGCAGGAUCGUCCCGAAAGUCCAGCCGACGGUGCUGAUGUCUCAGGUUUGUGUCGGGAUUUUGAAUUCGUUGCUGGGAUCUCACUGCUGGCGUUCUAGGUGUUUGGACUCUGUUGUUGUUAGUUUAAUUUGAGAGUGUUAAGGUGAGAUUCUAAAUAAAGAGCUCUUUCUGACUUGCAUUUGAUUCUGUAGUAGUGGAAAAAGUCAGGGCUUUCAUGGAGAAUCAUUGCAUUCUUUAGUCUGUUGGAACGAUUUAGUUCUUUUGGUUCAUCCCUGUAAAAUUAGAGUCCUUUUGGGAAAUCCUUUUUGUGGGAUCUGAUAUAUUGGAUGUCGCUUCUGUUAAUCAGUUUCCCGUCGUUUAAAUGAUUUUUUUGGAAGAAAUGUUGUUAAUUAAGUUUAGAAGAAAAGGUGCAUUUUUUGAGCAAGUUAAACUAAUCUUCUGGGUUUCUCAAUUUUUACUUGUUUUCAGUAUAUAAAAUGGAACAAAAUCAGAUAUUUUGUAGGGUUUCAAAAUUACUGUUCAGUUAUAAGAAUUUAGGAUGUUGAUUUUGUCCUUGUUUCGUUUUUCUUGACAGGAAAUAGGCUACAUGAUAUUGGUCGUCAGGUUCAUGGGAGAUAAUUAAAGAGGAAAGGCCGUGUUUUUAGGUGGCUGUCAGCUGAUUCUGGAACAAUGUCGAGGAUUCCUAAGUGGAAAACUGAAAAGACAAAAGUGAAAGUGGUUUUUCGGCUACAGUUUCAUGCUACACAUGUAAGCUCUGCCUUUACACCAUGGCUUUUAUUUGUUUUUCUUUGAUACUACUUUAAUUGUUCGUUAAUUCUCAAAGAUUGGACAUAUAUCUUUGUUCACAUGCAAUCUUAGUCUUUACCCUUUCCUUUAAUUCUUUUUAUCAAGUGACUACACAUGCACGUGAUCUUCUUUACUUGAUUCUUUACUUGUUCAUAGGCAUUCAGUGUUUGCUAAAGUUGUGUUUGAAAACCAAAAGAUCCUGAUCUCUCUCUCUCUCUCUCUCUCUGUGUGUGUGUGUGUGUGUGUGUGUGUGUGUGUUAAAAAAACAUCUUGGCUUCAAAAGAUCAUCUUCCGAAUUUUCUUUGCUAAGUUUUUCUCAGCUAAGCUUCACUAUAUAUGGAAAUGUUUAAAGUUCUUUUGAGUGCUGUUGUGCUGAGAGUAUUAUGUGUGUUAGAUCUCAGGCAUUUGAGUAUAUGAAAUUUGAGAAGCUACUGACUUUCUCGCUUCAAUGAUUUGUGGUACUUCAAUUCCUUCCCUGCUUGCAACUUCUUUAUAUGUUUAGGUUCCAGCUUAGUCACUGACAUGGAAAGGAUAUAUAGAUAAUUCAGCUACUUGUUGGUGCAGCAAUGAUUUUGAAGCAUUCAUUCCCAUUCUCUGAAAUAUUACUACUAUGAAUUUUGGCAAGUGGAUUGCUUCUCUAACUCUAUUUUUUGAUCAAAAUUCUCUCUACUGUCAUCACCAAGUGUUUGCCACUUAUUGAAAAGAGCUAAUUAGGCUUCAAAUAUUAACUUAUACUGUCAUGCAUGUCCAUAAUAUUUAAUUAUCUUCUACUGGCACCAUAGACAAUGAAUAGGUUGGAUAUUGCCAUCUACCAUUUUACUGCUCUGAUGCUGAAUGAAUGCAGAAACUAUGUCUCAAUAGGCUAGUCUUUGACAGGAUUCACUUUCACAAGCUAGAAACAUUAUAUAGAGCUUAAAGAUGAAUAGUUUUAGAAAGUGCUUGCCUUGCAUGCGAUCUCCUAGGCAUGGCAUAUUUUUGAAACCACUACACAUUUAGAUUAAAAGGACCUUCUUUUUACCAGAAGUGCUAUGGUUCAUUAUGAUUUUCAUAUGUGUUUCUGCCUUGGGAAGCUUUGAUUAUAGAAUAUGCUAAUUAAAGUCCGGGUUAUUAUUGGUGUAUCCAUUUCGUAAUUCUUUGCACGAGUUGAUAGAUGAGAACUAAUUGUCUUUUCUUGUUUCAGAUUCCUCAUCCUGGAUGGGACAAAUUAUUUGUGUCCUUCAUCCCUGCUGAUGGAGGAAAAGUGACUGCAAAGACAAACAAAGCAAGUGUGAGGAACGGAAACUGUAAAUGGUCAGAUCCAAUCUAUGAAACUACAAGACUUCUGCAAGAUGCAAGGACCAAAAAGUAUGAUGAGAAGCUCUAUAAGCUUGUGGUGGCAAUGGUAUUUCCAACUCUUUUACAGCCAAGACUUCUCCAUUUAAUAUCAUUUACAGUGGUGCUAUCACUAUAUUUUUCUCGUUAGACUUCUGAUUUAAAAAGCUUGUGUGCAUAUGUUCUUUAAUCCAUCUCAUUGUCUGAAAUUUUGUGCCUGAGAUAUUUACUGGUAAUUAGUACUCACUCCACCUUUUGGUAAUCUUCCCAAUAUAACCAGGGAUCCUCUCGGUCUAGUCUUCUUGGGGAGGUCAACAUCAACCUUGCCAACUUUGCAGAUGCACUGAAGCCUUCCUCUGUUGCACUACCUCUUCAUGGUUGUGACUUUGGGACAGUUUUACAUGUGAGAAUGCUCCUCUCCCCACCCAAGAAAAAGCUUUUCCAAACAUUUUCAUUUUAGCUUUAUUUUUCUUUUGUUAUACAUGGUUUUGCCCACUGUUGUCAAAUUCUAGUUAUCCAGAAAAGGCCUGUCAGGCCUGUUUGGUUCUUAGUUUAUGGCUGAUCAUCCAACACAUGUCACGUAAUGAGACCAAAGUUUCAUGUCUAUUUAUUUAAUAUUGUUGAAUGAAUUUCUUUUAUGUGCUUCACACUCUUGUUCCGUGCUUAAGACUGAAAGGAAAUUGCAAUUAUUAGAGUAAUAUGCUUUGUUAGUUUUUCAUCGAGUAAUGCCUUUUCUUUCUCUGGAUUGUGAACCUACAAAAUCGAUUGUUAAUGUGGUUUCUCUUUCUAAAACACGGCUGUUACUAACUAUUUCAGGUCACAGUACAACUUCUCUCCUCCAAAACUGGUUUCAGGUGCUGCUUCAGUAACAAUAUAGCCUAGUUUUUAUUAAUAUUACCUGCCAGUCUUACACCUGAUUAUGUUAUUUCAGAGAAUUUGAACAGCAAAGGGAGCUCAGUGCGAAGGGAUUUCAUACAACAUCAAGCCAGAGAAGUCAUGAUCCAGCCGAAAUUGUAGCAGCUUCAUCAGAGGCUGCCAGUGACCCAACAGACAAGGUCUGGUAAUAUUUGGACGAUUAUAUUGUUAAUUUAAAAUUAUUGUCAAGUUUCCACAUAUGUGCUGUUUUCUGCUUUAUAUAACUUUGAUAUAGAGUUGGAAGAGUGCUCCUAAGAGUCAUUGAUGGUUGACCUUGGAUCUACUUGGUAUUUUGUUUGAUAAAUUUAAGAUUACGCUGUUAUUAAUUUAAUAGAUAAUAUUUACUUAAGGGAACGGGACAGAGUUACAAAAGAAUAUUCAUCUCUGCAAUAGAAACUAAGGAGAAAAGGCCCAAGAGUUCAUUUGGGGAUGUCCAAUGUUUGUAAUAUCAUUUUCUAUAUGACUUCCAGCUCGCACAGCCUCUUAGCUCCAGUAAGCUAUCGAUUGAUGCGAAAAGACUUUGAUCAAUGCAUUUACUUUUAGGGUUAAUUAUAUUGACUAAUGUUUUUCUUGAAAAGUUUUUUUCUUAAGAGUUAUUUUAAGAUUCAGUAUAAUAACCUUUUUAUAAUUAAUAAUUGUGGAUGCUCUUUGCUCAAAAAUAUUCUCAAGAGCCUAUUCUUUUUAUUAUAUGUAACUGUCUUCCACUUGCCUACUUGGUAGAUCCCUUGAGAUCAGCUAUUGUUCUUGGCAUGGUAGUAUGGCAACUUCCUGCGAAUUUCUCCUAUAUUUUAUUCUCCACUGCAUACAUUUAUGUGUAAUUCCUUUUUCCUCGUAGGGAAAACUGACUAAUAUGUGUAUGACAAUCAUAGUGUUGUCUCCAUGGAAUGAAAGGCAUGUGGAACUAACUGUUGUUCUUAUCAGUAAUUCAGUAGAUUUGAGAACUUUCAAUAUUCGUAUACUUCUCCUCUGUUAUGCCUAUGCCACUGGUAGAGUUAUGCAGGCAAAGUCAUCAUGAAAUACCAAAGUAGGUGCAUAGUGGUAGGCCAGCAAGCUAGGUCCAUCGGCAACACUGUAAUGAGCCUAAGGAAUAAUCAUACAAUUAUGAUUGCCAGAAGCUCAUGUAAGAUAUUAUAGCAUAGCUCCUAGAAUUCAUAAUUUGCUGCAACAAGUUGUUUUUUUUUUUUAUGUUUUCAAUAUGAUGUAUAUCAGUAUAAUUUCUGUGAUUAUUGGAGCAGAUAAUGUCGUCUGGCUACAUCUGGACUGGAAGUCUAUUUUGAAGGGUUUAAAGGGCGUACAGUUAAUUAAGCGGGCACUGUUUUUUUGUUUUAUUGGACUUCCAAUUGGACAUAAGAUAGUGAUUUGUGUAUGUCUUAGGGUUUCAUAGAGAACUGAGUUUAAAAGUAAUGCUGGUUGGCAAAGUGGCUAAAAUAAUUUAAAAACUAUACCAUGUUCAGUUCUUAAGCAUUAACUAUUUGGUAUGUUUAAAUGGCUUAUCAAAUGGCUAAUCUAUCCAAAGCCAUGCAGACUAAGCAUCAAGCUAAGCACAAUCUUAUUAUCACUUGCAGGAGUAAAAUCAGUGGCAGUACAAGAGUACAUAAAUACAAGAAUAGUGGUAGUGGUGGUGGAGUAGUACAAGAAGAAAAAGAAGGGAAAAAGAAACAAAAGUUUUAAUUCAUGGAUAGAAAUAAAUAAAAGGAGAAAUCCAAAAAUGAACAGGAAAAGGUAGUACAAGAAAGAAACACAUCAUUGGAGGGGGUUUUGGGAAGGAAAGACCUUCCUUCAUCAAUGGUUUAGUGGAGUGCCUUGCUUUUGUGAGAACAAAUGCUAGGUUGUGUUCAGAUAAAAGCAGAAGGACAUUCUUUUUCAUCUUACCAUGGCUAAGAGUACUCACAUGAAACAAAUUCUAGGUUGCACCAUUCUCUGAAAUAAGAUGAAAAUAAAUUACAUAAAAACAUGCUAUAAUUGUUAGAAAAUGUUAGGUAGUAUGUAGGAAACUUUGGCUUAA
Molecule: long non-coding RNA, 11789 nt
Filed under: Phoenix dactylifera (date palm)
Lineage: Eukaryota; Viridiplantae; Streptophyta; Magnoliopsida; Arecales; Arecaceae
Description: long non-coding RNA (PDAC_LNC003138)
Source: RNAcentral